GUGAUCUUCAGAGACACCCGUUAAAACUGGAACGAUACAAAGUCGAUUAGCAUGGCACUGUGCAAGGAUGGAACACAAAACAAGCAAAAUGUUCUAAUAGUCC
This 103-nucleotide small nuclear RNA is filed under the name Salix viminalis (osier). The record is from RNAcentral. Lineage: Eukaryota; Viridiplantae; Streptophyta; Magnoliopsida; Malpighiales; Salicaceae.